Molecule: ribosomal RNA, 254 nt
Filed under: uncultured bacterium
Lineage: Bacteria
Description: partial 16S ribosomal RNA
Rfam family: Bacterial small subunit ribosomal RNA
Source: RNAcentral
UACGGAGGGUGCGAGCGUUGUUCGGAAUUAUUGGGCGUAAAGCGCACGUAGGCGGCUGGGUAAGUCUCACUGUGAAAGCCCGGGGCUCAACCCCGGGAGGCCAGGGGAUACUGCUCGGCUAGAGACAGGCAGAGGCUGGCGGAAUUCCGGGUGUAGCGGUGGAAUGCGUAGAGAUCCGGAGGAACACCUGAGGCGAAGGCGGCCAGCUGGGCCUGAUCUGACGCUGAGGUGCGAAAGCGUGGGGAGCGAACAGG